UCUGGGUUUAUCCCAGCGGUCCCGUCAGAGAAAUAUAACUGACGGCGAGGGUUGCGCUCGUUGCGGGACUUAACCCAACACCUCACGGCACGAGCUGACGACAGCCAUGCAGCACCUGUGCUAGCUCCCCGAAGGGUCCUUCACGUUUCCGAUCCGUACCACUAGCAUGUCAAGCCCUGGUAAGGUUCUUCGCGUUGCAUCGAAUUGAACCACAUGCUCCACCGCUUGUGCGGGUCCCCGUCAAUUCAUUUGAGUUUCAACCUUGCGGCCGUACUCCCCAGGCGGACAACUUAACGCGUUGCUGCGACACCAAGAGGCUAACCCUCCCGACAUCUAGUUGUCAUCGUUUACAGCUAGGACUAC
This 363-nucleotide unclassified non-coding RNA is filed under the name uncultured bacterium. Its description in RNAcentral is "contains 16S-23S intergenic spacer region". The record is from RNAcentral.